Quercus lobata is the source of this 1947-nucleotide RNA transcript. It is a transcript of the gene named vacuolar cation/proton exchanger 5-like, with no coding region annotated. NCBI's taxonomy places the organism in Eukaryota, Viridiplantae, Streptophyta, Magnoliopsida, Fagales, Fagaceae. The transcript has 12 exons. The record is from RefSeq and is a predicted model, not a curated record.
ACCUUUUUUUUUUUCUUUUUUUUUUUUGGGAUAAGAAGAUAAAACAUUGAGCCACAUAUGUUUUGUUUGCUUUAAAAAGUGUUCUUGGACAUGAUUAUACAUAAUAAGACAUUGCCCCAUAUGUAUUGUUUGACCAAUUUCCUUUAAAAAAGUGUUCGUGAAUAUGACUAAAUUUAGUAAAGCAUUGAGCCCACGAUCAGAAAACUGUAGUUACCAAUGCAUUCAUCUCCACAGUUGGUUUAUGAAAGAGAGAGGAAGAGUGGGAGACGCGGGUGCUUUUUCUUCUUUAGUUUCUCUGCACACAACAUGUGAAGGAUCUCAUUUUUGUUUCCACUAGCUCUUGCUUUUUGGUUUUUAGUCAAUGUCAUAUAGAUUGCAUGUCUUUUUUGUUUUCUCCAAUUUGACACAAUAACAAGAGCUUUCAGGAUUGCAGGGAUAAGAUUCCUGUGCAAAGACAUCUUUACUUCAAAUCCUUUCUGGGAAUUGUUGCAUUUCAAGUGGGGUUUUAUGAAAGCCCACUUUUUCUUUUUCUUUUUUCCUUUUUUUGCAUGAGAUAUUUUUCGAGCUGUUGGCAGGUUUGCAUGCAUUAUAUAGUUACAAUGGUAAAUUGGGAAAGGUGCAAGAGUGAGAGAUAUGGGAGGGGAGGCAGAAGAUCAACAGUCACCCUUACUAAGAAGCUGUUCUUCACCAGAGGAGCCUCUAGAAAGAACAGAUGUGAUUUCUAUCUCAGAAAAAGAUGAAACUGGAUCGUUGUCUGGAGGUUUGCGAGGGAGUAGUAUUCUGACAUUUUUGUACGUUGUGUAUACGAGCAUAAAGACUGUAGUUUUCUCAAACAAACUCAACACGCAGAUUGUUUUUGGGCCAACAGCAAUUCUUGUUCAGAAAUUGACUGAUAAAUCUGUUUGGGUCUUCUUUCUAAGCUUAGUGGGCAUAACACCUUUGGCUGAGCGUUUAGGUUAUGCUACAGAGUCAGCUUCUUUUUACACUGGACCUACAGUCGAAGGCCUUUUGAAUGCUACUUUUGGGAAUGCAACAGAAUUUAUAAUUUCAAUCCUCGCAAUGAAAAGUGGAAUGAUACGUGUUGUUCAGCUGUAAUUAUUGGGUUCAAUUCUGUCAAACUUGUUGCUGGUACUUGGAUGUGCAUUCUUUUAUGGUGGGUUUGUUCUUCAUAAGGAACAGCUGUUUAAUAAGACAACUGCUGUUGUAAACUCCAAAUUGCUGUUUAUGGCAGUCAUGGGCCUGCUUUUUCCAGCUGUUCUUCAUUGUACACACACUGAGGUUUAUUUUGGGAAGUCAGAGUUGGCUCUUUCAAGAUUUAGCAGCUGCAUUAUGCUUGUCACAUAUGCUGCAUACCUUUUUUUCCAGCUAAAGAGUCGAAGAAAUCUCAAUGUUCCUCUUAAUGAGGAUGGGUUUCAGAUUGAAGAGGGCUCAUAUGAUGAUGAAGCUCCCCAAAUCUCAAAAUGGGAAUCAGUAAUUUGGCUUUUGAUUAUAUCUGCUUGUGUCUCAAUCCUAUCUGAAUAUUUAGUUGAUACAAUAGAGAGAGCAUCUAUUGCAUUGAAUAUGCCAGUUUCAUUUAUUAGUGUUAUUUUGCUUCCACUUGUGGGGAAUGCUGUAAAUCAUGCAAGUGCUAUUACAUUUGCCAUGAAAGAGAAGCUUGACAUAACAUUAGGAAUCUCAAUAGGAUCAUCAACGCAGAUAGCUUUGUUUGUGAUUCCGUUUUCUGUAGUCCUCGGUUGGAUUAUGGAGCAACCUAUGGAUUUAAACUUUCAGCUUUUCGAGACAGCAACACUUUUUAUAUUCGUCUUCAUAGUAGCCUUAAUGUUGCAGGAAGGAACUCAUUAUUUUAAGGGACUGAUGCUUCUUCUUUGCUAUCUGAUAGUCGCAGCAAGUUUUUUUGUACAUGUUGAUGUUUCUCCAGGAGUUCAGCUUAAAUUUCACUUUGUCUAG